UUUAAAUGCAGUUACGAGUUUAUAUGUCUAACAUUUAAUCACAUGGUUUAUUUAAAAAAAUUAAUUAAUAUUUUUAUUGUUAUUAGAUGAUAGAAUAUGAAUGACACUUUAUGCGUGCCUAUUUUUUUUAAAAGAAAUUAAAUAAGAUAGACGGUUAAAUGUUGGACACGGAAAUCCACGACUGCACUUAAA
Molecule: non-coding RNA, 192 nt
Organism: Oryza meridionalis
Lineage: Eukaryota; Viridiplantae; Streptophyta; Magnoliopsida; Poales; Poaceae
Source: Rfam